GUUCUUUUACGAGGGAUAAUUAUGAUAGUACUUCGUGAAUAAGUGACAGCAAACUAUGUGCCAGCAGCUGCGGUAAUACAUAGGUCGCAAGCAUUAUUCGGAUUUAUUGGGCGUAAAGCAAGCGCAGGCGGAUGUGUAAGUUCUGUGUUAAAUGCAGCUACUCAAUAGUUGUAUGCACCGAAUACUACAUGUCUAGAUUGUGGUAGGGAGUUUCGGAAUUAAGCAUGGAGCGGUGGAAUGUGUAGAUAUGCUUAAGAACACCAGAGGCGAAGGCGGAAACUUAGGCCAUAAAUGACGCUUAGGCU
RNAcentral lists this ribosomal RNA (305 nucleotides) under Mycoplasma haemofelis. RNAcentral describes it as "bacterial SSU rRNA". It matches the Rfam family "Bacterial small subunit ribosomal RNA", at positions 430 to 753 of the family's 1533-position model. Lineage: Bacteria; Bacillati; Mycoplasmatota; Mollicutes; Mycoplasmatales; Mycoplasmataceae. The record is from RNAcentral.